Molecule: long non-coding RNA, 260 nt
Organism: Herpailurus yagouaroundi (jaguarundi)
Lineage: Eukaryota; Metazoa; Chordata; Mammalia; Carnivora; Felidae
Exons: 5
Source: RefSeq, a predicted model, not a curated record
UUCUUACACAUACGAGUUAAUGACGACCGUCUGAUUGUUUUCUCCGCAUUCACCACAUGUGUAAGAUCUUGCUUUCUUCACAUUCACCAUGUGGGUAAGAUCUUGUGAGCUCAGUAAAUACGAAGACAAAACCCCUGUUCUGGGCUCUUGUCUCCUCCUGGACACUAGCCUCUCUCAUAGUCAAUUCUGCAUCCACUCUCUUGCUGCACAAGAGAGAACUCCACACUCAUAGUCGGCAACAAGUCUCCAGAUCGGAAGAG